AUUCAGAGUUUUCUAAACUCCCAACCCUAUUUGAACUUACCUUUGUUGCUUCGGCGGCGGGGCUACCCUGCGGGAGAAUACCACUUAGUGGUUACCCUGUAGUUUCAGGUACAUCAGCUACCCGGUAGUCAUCCCCGCCGGCGGCCAACUAAACUCUGUUUUCUUUGGAAUUCUGAAUAACAAACUUAAUAAGUUAAAACUUUCAACAACGGAUCUCUUGGUUCUGGCAUCGAUGAAGAACGCAGCGAAAUGCGAUAAGUAAUGUGAAUUGCAGAAUUCAGUGAAUCAUCGAAUCUUUGAACGCACAUUGCGCCCAUUAGCAUUCUAGUGGGCAUGCCUGUUCGAGCGUCAUUUCACCACUUAAGCCUUGUUGCUUAGCGUUGGGAGCCUACGGCACGGCCCGUAGCUCCUUAAAGUGAUUGGCGGAGUUGGUUCUCACUCUAAGCGUAGUAAUUAUAUCUCGCUUCUGUAGUGGUCCCGGCCCCUGCCGUAAAACCCCUUAUACAAAGGUUGACCUCGGAUCAGGUAGGAAUACCCGCUGAACUUAAGCAUAUCAUUAAGCGGAGGA
This 568-nucleotide ribosomal RNA is filed under the name Muscodor sp. Fun50W1. RNAcentral's name for it is "eukaryotic LSU rRNA". The stretch from base 198 to 351 matches the Rfam family "5.8S ribosomal RNA". The record is from RNAcentral. Lineage: Eukaryota; Fungi; Ascomycota; Sordariomycetes; Xylariales.